AUUGAACGCUGGCGGCAUGCUUUACACAUGCGAGUCGAACGGCAGCGCGAGCUUCGGCCUGGCGGCGAGUGGCGAACGGGUGAGUAAUACAUCGGAACGUGCCCAGUAGUGGGGGAUAGCUCGGCGAAAGCCGGAUUAAUACCGCAUACGACCUGAGGGUGAAAGCGGGGGAUCUUCGGACCUCGCGCUAUUGGAGCGGCCGAUGGCAGAUUAGCUAGUUGGUGGGGUAAAGGCCUACCAAGGCGACGAUCUGUAGCUGGUCUGAGAGGACGACCAGCCACACUGGGACUGAGACACGGCCCAGACUCCUACGGGAGGCAGCAGUGGGGAAUUUUGGACAAUGGGCGAAAGCCUGAUCCAGCAAUGCCGCGUGUGUGAUGAAGGCCUUCGGGUUGUAAAGCACUUUUGGCGGGAACGAAAAGGACUGUGCCAAUACCACGGUUCGAUGACGGUACCCGCAGAAUAAGCACCGGCUAACUACGUG
This 484-nucleotide ribosomal RNA is filed under the name uncultured bacterium. RNAcentral describes it as "partial 16S ribosomal RNA". It matches the Rfam family "Bacterial small subunit ribosomal RNA", at positions 29 to 507 of the family's 1533-position model. The record is from RNAcentral.